CAAUAGCUAAACAAUAGACUGCUCAAACAACGCACCUGUGCCUGGUUCAAAUAUAAGAACCGUGUCCUGACUCCUUUCCCAGUAAUUAUUGGCACCAAUGUGCUAGCUGGAUAGGGUACUAGUCCA
This is a long non-coding RNA of Bufo bufo (common toad), 126 nucleotides long. RefSeq lists it as uncharacterized. The transcript is spliced from 3 exons. Lineage: Eukaryota; Metazoa; Chordata; Amphibia; Anura; Bufonidae. The record is from RefSeq and is a predicted model, not a curated record.